UCCUCCAUAGCUCAGCCUGGUAGAGCAGCGAACUCAUAAUUCGAAGGCCGCUGGUUCAAGUCCAGCUGGAGGGA
RNAcentral lists this transfer RNA (74 nucleotides) under Arthrobacter sp. zg-Y1110. RNAcentral describes it as "tRNA-Ile". It matches the Rfam family "tRNA". Rfam says of the family: Transfer RNA (tRNA) molecules are approximately 80 nucleotides in length. Their secondary structure includes four short double-helical elements and three loops (D, anti-codon, and T loops). The record is from RNAcentral. Lineage: Bacteria; Bacillati; Actinomycetota; Actinomycetes; Micrococcales; Micrococcaceae.